UACGGAGGGUGCAAGCGUUAUCCGGAUUCACUGGGUUUAAAGGGUGCGUAGGUGGGUCUGAAAGUCAGUGGUGAAAUCUCCGGGCUUAACCUGGAAAUUGCCAUUGAUACUAUCAGUCUUGAAUAUCGUGGAGGUAAGCGGAAUAUGUCAUGUAGCGGUGAAAUGCUUAGAUAUGACAUAGAACACCAAUUGCGAAGGCAGCUUACUACCCGAAUAUUGACACUGAGGCACGAAAGCGUGGGGAUCAAACAGG
Molecule: ribosomal RNA, 253 nt
Filed under: uncultured bacterium
Lineage: Bacteria
Description: partial 16S ribosomal RNA
Rfam family: Bacterial small subunit ribosomal RNA
Source: RNAcentral